Molecule: ribosomal RNA, 484 nt
Filed under: uncultured bacterium
Lineage: Bacteria
Description: partial 16S ribosomal RNA
Rfam family: Bacterial small subunit ribosomal RNA
Source: RNAcentral
AUUGAACGCUGGCGGCAGGCCUAACACAUGCAAGUCGAGCGGAAGAAGGGUGCUUGCUCCUGGUUUCGGCGGCGGACGGGCGGGUGAUGCAUAGGAAUCUGGCUGGCUGCUGGUUCUAACGUGCUGACACGGGCGAUCAUACGGCAUUAGCCCUGAGGACGUACGGGUGGGAUCAUCGGACCUUCCGACCUUGGGUGAGCCUAUGUCGGAUUAGCUAGUUGGCGGGGUAAAGGCCUACCAAGGCGACGAUCCGUAGCUGGUCUGAGAGGAUGAUCAGCCACACUGGAACUGAGACACGGUCCAGACUCCUACGGGAGGCAGCAGUGGGGAAUAUUGGACAAUGGGCGAAAGCCUGAUCCAGCCAUGCCGCGUGGGUGAAGAAGGCCUUCGGGUUGUAAAGCCCUUUUGUUGGGAAAGAAAAGCAGUAGGUUAAUACCCUGCUGUUUUGACGGUACCCACAGAAUAAGCACCGGCUAACUUCGUG